Molecule: ribosomal RNA, 505 nt
Filed under: uncultured bacterium
Lineage: Bacteria
Description: partial 16S ribosomal RNA
Rfam family: Bacterial small subunit ribosomal RNA
Source: RNAcentral
GACGAACGCUGGCGGCGUGCCUAAUACAUGCAAGUAGAACGCACAGUUUAUACCGUAGCUUGCUACACCAUAGACUGUGAGUUGCGAACGGGUGAGUAACGCGUAGGUAACCUGCCUGGUAGCGGGGGAUAACUAUUGGAAACGAUAGCUAAUACCGCAUAAUAUUGAUUAUUGCAUGAUAAUUGAUUGAAAUAUGCUAUUGCAUCACUACAAGCUGGACCUGCGUUGUAUUAGCUAGUAGGUGAGGUAACGGCUCACCUAGGCGAAGAUACAUAGCCGAACUGGGAGGGUGAUCGGCCACACUGGGACUGAGACACGGCCCAGACUUCCACGGGAGGCAGCCGUAGGGAAUCUUUGGCAAUGGGGGAAAGUCUGAACGAGCAACGCCGCGUGAGGGAAGAAGGUUUUCGGAUCGUAAAGCUCUGUUGUAAGGGAAGAAAGGGUGUGAGAGUGGAAAGUUCACACUGUGACGGUAUCUUACCAGAAAGGGACGGCUAACUACGUG